This 79-nucleotide small RNA is filed under the name Rhodnius prolixus. RNAcentral's name for it is "isrK Hfq binding RNA". It matches the Rfam family "isrK Hfq binding RNA". The record is from Rfam by way of RNAcentral. Lineage: Eukaryota; Metazoa; Arthropoda; Insecta; Hemiptera; Reduviidae.
GCACCUGCAAAAUCAGGUGCCGGGAUUCGAAACCCCGGAUAACUAAACAGGCGCAUAACACGCCUACAGCGUGUUUUUU